UAUCAAAGGUGAGCCAGUACAGGAUGGACCCGCGUCUGAUUAGCUAGUUGGUAAGGUAACGGCUUACCAAGGCGACGAUCAGUAGCCGACCUGAGAGGGUGAUCGGCCACAUUGGAACUGAGACACGGUCCAAACUCCUACGGGAGGCAGCAGUGGGGAAUAUUGCACAAUGGGCGAAAGCCUGAUGCAGCAACGCCGCGUGAGUGAUGAAGGCCUUCGGGUCGGAAAACUCUGUCCUCAAGGAAGAUAAUGACGGUACUUGAGGAGGAAGCCCCGGCUAACUACGUGCCAGCAGCCGCGGUAAUACGUAGGGGGCUAGCGUUAUCCGGAUUUACUGGGCGUAAAGGGUGCGUAGG
This 356-nucleotide ribosomal RNA is filed under the name Clostridioides difficile. RNAcentral's name for it is "bacterial SSU rRNA". It matches the Rfam family "Bacterial small subunit ribosomal RNA", at positions 199 to 575 of the family's 1533-position model. Lineage: Bacteria; Bacillati; Bacillota; Clostridia; Peptostreptococcales; Peptostreptococcaceae. The record is from RNAcentral.